GAAAAACAAGAAAUAGAGAGAGAAUUGGAAGGAUUUGAGAAGAAAUUGUUGGAUUAUGAGGAUAGUGAUGAAUUAUCUGUUGAUCUGAAUCAAGCCGCGAAGGAAAAAGAAGAGUUUUUUUAGCAAUCAAGAAUGCAUCAUGGAGGAAUCUUUAGCAGAUUUUUAGAAAGAGAGGUUGUCCAUGAGUACAGGCUUAAAGUUUUAGAAGAAAAACUUGUGUCAUUGUGAAGAGGGACGAUGUUUUGAAGGUUGUACACCGGUGGAAGACUUGCACAAAGAAUGGCAUUCCUGUCGAUCAAGACACUUGUUAUAGUGAUGAAUCAAAU
RNAcentral lists this long non-coding RNA (326 nucleotides) under Olea europaea (common olive). RNAcentral describes it as "long non-coding RNA (OEUR_LNC014221)". The record is from RNAcentral. Lineage: Eukaryota; Viridiplantae; Streptophyta; Magnoliopsida; Lamiales; Oleaceae.